UAAGCCGAAACCAAGAGUCAGACACUUAACGGACUGAGCCCUCCAAGUACCCCCACCAUAUUCUUUUUAUGUGAUUAUUAAUCAAAACGCAAAAUGCUUUUUUCCCCUUUCUCAUACAGAAUUGGUGGCCCCUUCAUCCGACUUCUGUGACUCGCCAAGGGCUCCCAUUCUAUGUCUUCCUCACCCUCCCUUUUAUCCCCUCCUUCUUCUGUGGUCAUGAUAUGCACUCUGUGGAUGGCCGUUCCAGAAGUACUGAGUGUCUUAUCUAUAUAUUCUCUUAUUUCCUUAGAAUUACUCAUAGCUUGCUUUUGAUCUCAGGGACUCUGGCUCUUGUUAUUUCUAAUGACAUUUCUAUUCCACAUAUUCCAUCUGCGUUCUGACCUGACCCGCAUGGCAGGCCAUGGAGACGGCAGGGUUAACACCUUCGGCCCAGGCUGCUGCUGGGCUGUCUCCCCUUUGUGGAUGUCCCCAGGCACUCCAGGGCCCAGCCAUCCUUCUUCUCUACACUUGGGUCUGGGUGUUUCCAAAAUGCAUCCAUUCAGUUCAGCUGCCUUUUAAGCAACAUCUGUUACCAGUUUUCUCUCCUCAUCUAACGAAGGAGACAUCGCUUAUUUUAACCUUGGUUGUUCCUGAAUAAUGUAUGACUGUCUGUACUCCCCUUUCUGUGCUUGCUAAACUGCACUUUGUUGCCACAUUUAAGUCCUGGUUCUUUCCAUUUUCCUUCUUGGAGGGGCUCUCCUUAGCGGUUCACCCAUCGCUAGCCUUCUUCCCCUGUUAGAGCUGUUAGAGCACUUGUGAUUUUGCCAACUAACAUUCCCACAACAUUUCCCACAUUCGCUGGCUCGUGUGCCCUUCAGAGGCCUUUCCGUUUAAAAAAAGAGGGAAAAAAAAGCCAAAGAUGUGUGCCUUCUUAAAAAAUUUAACUCUUAAAACUUCUUUCCUGGCACUGUAAGCAACUUUUUAAAACCUUGCUUGAAUUUGUGCUUACAGGUCAGGAGAGGGGUUAACCAGAGACUCUGAGCCAGGUGGGAUGGGAAAAAAAAAUUGAGACCUUACCAA
Long non-coding RNA from Mustela erminea (ermine), 1059 nucleotides. RefSeq lists it as uncharacterized. NCBI's taxonomy places the organism in Eukaryota, Metazoa, Chordata, Mammalia, Carnivora, Mustelidae. The transcript has 2 exons. The record is from RefSeq and is a predicted model, not a curated record.